CGGGGUGUAGCGCAGCCCGGUAGCGCACCUGCUUUGGGAGCAGGGGGUCCCAGGUUCGAAUCCUGGUACCCCGA
RNAcentral lists this transfer RNA (74 nucleotides) under Bacteroidota bacterium. Its description in RNAcentral is "Bacteroidetes bacterium (activated sludge metagenome) tRNA-Pro". It matches the Rfam family "tRNA". From Rfam's summary of the family: Transfer RNA (tRNA) molecules are approximately 80 nucleotides in length. Lineage: Bacteria; Pseudomonadati; Bacteroidota. The record is from RNAcentral.